AGCGGGCUACUGGGCUGCGGAGACCAGAGCCCGGCUCCACUGAAGAAACCCGCCGGCUGCUGGGGCAGGGCGGCGAAAGGUCAGUCGGCCGAGAGGAGUCCGUGGAGCCACCGUUUCAUAGCCUCAGGGAAAGGAUCGGGCGUGCUCACGAGCCCUCUAACCCAUGGCUUAAACACCCGCUUCCUAAGCCUGGUUCCUGAAUAUAUCACAUGUGGUGAUAAACAUGAAGAUGUAUGAAAAAUUGUGUUCGUUGAGAGAAAAUGGAAGGCUUUUCAUUCUACUUCCACAUUUUCAUUCCAGCAGCUUUUCUGUUUUGGAAGAUGAGUACUGAAUCUUGCAAUGAAAUUUUUUUAACUUAAACAAGGUUCUUAUGCCUUUGUUUGAAAAACAUGGUUCCCUGUGAAAUUUUACAUGUAGAAGAAAGCUUCACACUACGAGAGCUCUCAGGAUAUAAUUAUUUCAGACAGAUACUGGGAACAUAAGAUGGCUUAUCAAUCUAAGAUGGCCUUCCUGUCCUUCGGAUUGAACUGAAACCAUCCCUGAUUCCAGGGAUAGGUAGAUGAUCCAGGUUUGGACAAUCAAAAUAUUGAACCACCCUGGACCUACAAGUGUUUCUGGGAUGGGAACAUGCAAACGUUGGUCCAAAUUGUUGUUCUAGGCAGCCCAGUACAUUUCUCCAAUGCCUGAUGGAAUGAUAGGGUAUGCAUAAAUGUUCAUGUGGGCUCUGGAGUAUACCAGGAACUGAAGUAAGGUACAUGGACGUCUUGAAUAUUGUAACUGAGAUGGGCAAGCCUACACCUUUGCAAAUAAAGGAGGAUUGGGAAAGAUUAAGAAUGAUUGAGUCUCAGAAUUGUUCUUUAAUCCUCAGUAUUUCCAUUAAGAAGAGCUUCUAUCAAGUGCUUCAAAAGUACCCAAUGUGAAGGAGUAAUAAUGACUCCCUGCUGCCUCUCAAGCACUGUGAAAAAUCACUUUCUCUUGUUGUAUUCUUGGAGCCCCUGCUAAUUCAUUAUUGAAAAAUACCUGCUGCCUGCAUUUGGCCUUAUGUUGUCAUUUACUUGGUACUUCCUAAGCGUGGCUACUCCAAUGAAGCUUUAGUAUAUGUACUGAAAGAAGAUCCUCUCAUACUGCCACAGCCAAGAGAUAAGGUUGUAAAUCUUUAUUGGGAGAAGCCGUCAAGGACAGUUCUGUGAAAUGAAAGGAUCUCUGGAUCACCACAAAGUCUGGCUCAGUGACUAUGGCUUUGCAAACACUAAACAUUCCUGUCUCAAGUCCUGUAGAUGGCUUGAAAUAGUAUACAUAAGCAUGCCUUAUAAACAUCUUCAGUCUUUAUCAACUCUUUGGAGAUUCAGCCAUUCUUUUUUGUACUUUAGGGAAUUAAAUCAUUUUAUAAUGUAUAAAUCUGAGCAUGGCCGAUGGCAGAAGAAAUUUUGUCAUACGUUUUUAAAGAAAUAAAAAUGUAUUAUGUUUUAAAA
RNAcentral lists this long non-coding RNA (1472 nucleotides) under Homo sapiens (human). RNAcentral describes it as "HSALNT0294242". The record is from RNAcentral. Lineage: Eukaryota; Metazoa; Chordata; Mammalia; Primates; Hominidae.